This 335-nucleotide unclassified non-coding RNA is filed under the name soil metagenome. Its description in RNAcentral is "partial contains 5.8S ribosomal RNA, internal transcribed spacer 2, and large subunit ribosomal RNA". The stretch from base 1 to 120 matches the Rfam family "5.8S ribosomal RNA", at positions 35 to 154 of the family's 154-position model. The record is from RNAcentral.
GAUGAAGAACGCAGCGAAAUGCGAUAAGUAAUGUGAAUUGCAGAAUUCAGUGAAUCAUCGAAUCUUUGAACGCACAUUGCGCCCAUUAGUAUUCUAGUGGGCAUGCCUGUUCGAGCGUCAUUUCAACCCUUAAGCCUAGCUUAGUAUUGGGAAUCGACUUUACUGUCGUUCCUCAAAUUCAACGGCGGAUUUAUAGCAAUCUCUGAACGUAGUAAUUUUUUUCCUCGUUUUUGAAAUACUAUAACCCUCAGCCGCUAAACCCCCAAUUUUUCUAUGGUUGACCUCGGAUCAGGUAGGAAUACCCGCUGAACUUAAGCAUAUCAAUAAGCGGAGGA